GACCUCUAUACCUACAUUUCUUUCUUUACAGCAUGGAAAGACAACCAAUUUUUGAACACAUGAAAGCUCAUUACAUGAUCAGUACACAGAAGCUGAAAUUGGGGUAAAGUUAGUAUUGCAGGGACACAUGUUGAACAUCUCUGUAAUAGGUACCACUACAAAUGUUCUAAAAAAAACUUCAAAUUCACUACACAGCCAAAACACAAAUGUUUAAAAAUGGUUCAAAAGUAGGGUUCUAACUUACAAUUCAAACCCAUACACACAUAAGCUCUAGAACGACUAUAAAGAAAUGGUUCAAAUCCGUACACGUUGCUUCAACAGAAUUUCAAAUAGGACUUCGAACUUCAAAUUCAUGAACACACAAAUUUGGUCCGAAUUGUGUACAAAUAGCAUAUUGAAUUCGUCCAAGCCAUAUGCAAAUACAGAAACGCUUAACAACAUUGAAACACACAUGUAAACCAAAUAUCAUACUUACCAAAGGUUUGUUGUAGAUUAAAGCAGAGAAGACAGCGUUCCUGGCAUCGACGGAAGAAAAUCGGACGAACGUCUAACGAAUUGAAAGCCAACAAACUAGACCAAAUGUAUUCCAUCCGGUCAUUGAGUUCUCCAAUGGAAUAGGAGAAGAUGGAUGAAGUUAGGUGUAGAGAGACGAUGGAGUCCAUCGUGUGUAGGGUUUCGACAAUUUAGGGGGGAAAUGGAUGUUAUUUGAGGUGAG
RNAcentral lists this long non-coding RNA (715 nucleotides) under Olea europaea subsp. europaea. Lineage: Eukaryota; Viridiplantae; Streptophyta; Magnoliopsida; Lamiales; Oleaceae. The record is from RNAcentral.